UACAGAGGUCUCAAGCGUUGUUCGGAUUCAUUGGGCGUAAAGAGCUCGUAGGCGGUUUGUCGCGUCGGCCGUGAAAACUUGGGGCUUAACCCCAAGCCUGCGGUCGAUACGGGCAGACUUGAGUUCGGCAGGGGAGACUGGAAUUCCUGGUGUAGCGGUGAAAUGCGCAGAUAUCAGGAGGAACACCGGUGGCGAAGGCGGGUCUCUGGGCCGAUACUGACGCUGAGGAGCGAAAGCGUGGGGAGCGAACAGG
This 253-nucleotide ribosomal RNA is filed under the name uncultured bacterium. RNAcentral's name for it is "partial 16S ribosomal RNA". It matches the Rfam family "Bacterial small subunit ribosomal RNA", at positions 524 to 776 of the family's 1533-position model. The record is from RNAcentral.